RNAcentral lists this long non-coding RNA (5325 nucleotides) under Sus scrofa (pig). Its description in RNAcentral is "lncRNA (ENSSSCG00060075551.1)". The record is from RNAcentral. Lineage: Eukaryota; Metazoa; Chordata; Mammalia; Artiodactyla; Suidae.
AUUGAACCCAUAUCCUCAUGGACUCUGUCGGUUUCUUGACCCACUGAGGAACUCUCUAAGAUUAUUUUUGUUUUGAAUUACGCAUGAGGGAUGACACCACUUUCAGGAAUUAGGACAGCAAAGAUUGUAAUCUCGCCCUGGGCCUGACCAGACUAUGAGACCAUCUGUGGUCACUUCUUGAUUCUGUGGUUACUUUUGCCUAAACACAACCAGAAUGACUAGGUUUCUCUAGGCAGAUUUAGCCACAGGUCCUAGUUUACGUGGAACAUGAGCAUUAAAAACGUGUACUGGUGCUUUGACGUACUCUAAAUUUUGGACAUGCUGGGAACGGGAAAUUCAAGCAUUUCUACAAAGUAACAGAUGGGAAAUUUCCCAGGAAUAAACUGGUUAUUUCUUGGCAGUCUAAAAGUAUGUAGUCUGCAAGCUCUGCUCUGGGAGUUGGGAGAAUCCGCUUGAGCCACAUGACCUCUAGAUGCUAGAAAAGGAAUUCCCAGAUAUUUCCCUGCUAUAGCUAGUUAAGAGUAGUGGGUCAAAAGAGGACUGAAAUACCUUGGCAUCCAGCUUUGGGGAAUUGAAACUUUGAUUUUCCAGCAAAAACAAAGGGAAUGUUGAAUGUAGAAUCACAGGAAACCAAGCAUGAGGACACUGCAAAGUUAAUUAGACCUUCUCUUUUUAAUUCUGUAUUUCCCUUUUAUUUAUACAAUUCUCAUUCAUUUCAUCGAAGCAGUACAGAAUAGACUAGGUCCAAAUCUUGGCUCUAUCAUUUAUUCAGUGUGAGACAUUGGUUGUUACUAAACCUCUUUGCAGUUUUUAAAACCAGGUUUUUUGGGGUCAGCAGUCCUUUCUAUAGACCAGUCUGAUGCAGAGACCCUUCUUAAGUGGGAAAUAUAAUUUUUUUUUUGUCUUUUUGCCUUUUCUAGGGCUGCUCCCUCGGCAUAUGGAGGUUCUCAGGCUAGGGGUCUAACAGGAGCUAUAGCCGCUGGCCUACACCAGAGCCACAGCAACGCGGGAUUCAAGCCGAGUCUGCCACCUACCCCACAGCUCACGGCAACGCCAGAUCCUUAAUCUACUGAGCAAGGUCAAGGAUCAGAACCCAAGACCUCAGUUCCUAGUCGGAUUCGUUUCUGCUGCACCACAACGAGAUCUCCUAGCAUAAUUUUUUUAAUGUGGUACAACAUGCAUAUUCAAUACACCCAAACAUCUUUAGUUUUCCUCUAAGACGACAAAAAGUAAACUUAGAUUUGUUCAGCAAUCAAUAGUCCAGUAUUUUAUCCUAAAAAUUAUUUAGACAUUUAAUGGAUUUUCAUCAUAUUAUUUAGUGAAACUCUAAAAUUUCAAGAUAUCAAAAAUCUGCAAAACUAAUUUUCUAAAACAUAAUUAUUCCUAAAGUGUUCACUCAAAACCUUUUAUCCCAUAUCAAGUUAAUUGUCUUGUUGAAUGACCUUCAGUAAACCUAAGUACAAUAAAAGUACCAGAUGUGAUUAUUCUAAAGGCAUGUCUGCAUUAAUUAACAAACUUAAACAGUAAGCUUAAACUAACCCUUAUACCAGAUAUCAAUUCAAUAUUGAAUAUUUCCCAGAUCAUGUGAACCUGAAAUUCAUUUAGCUUAGUUUCUCUUGUAUUUAGAAACGUUUAAUUUGCAAUCGCUUACUUAAAAAAAAACAAUUAAAUAGAGCUCAUCUACAAAUUAAUCUCAGCGAUGUAAUCCAAAGACAAAGAUGUAUUAGGACAUACAUAUAUCCAGACAGACAGAGAUCUCAUAGUUUUAUCUUAAAAUUUAAUCUAGGGAAUAUUAUGGCCAGGCCAUCCUACAAAGAAAAAUCAUCUUUUUUUUUUUUUACAUUACAUUGGUUGUACCUGAAAAUGGUCCAGUUCUGGAGGAUGCAUCUCAAAGGGCUGAAUUUAGGAAAUGAAUUUGAGUUUCCCAUAGCCGGCACACUUACAUAUAUGACAAAUGCAAACAUACCCAGAAAGAACAAAAUCUGAUUCCUACAGGACAAAAGAGUCAUGUCUAACAAUUUUAUAAGCAAAGAUCUCUCUUCUUAACAAACAAUAUGGAAAAGGAAAAAAUAGGGAAUCGUGACUCCACUGUCAUGGCAAUUCACCUGGCCAAUGUAAAACCAAAAAGAACAGUUAUAAUAAGUUAAAUUUACUUACUUGAGCUUUAUUUAUUUAUUUUUUUGUCUUUAUACGGCUGCACCUGGCAUGUGGAGGGUUCCCCCGCUAGGGGUCGAAUGAGCUGUAGCUGCCGGCCUAUGCCACAGCCAUAGCAACACUGGAUCUGAGCCAUGCCUGCAACUUACACCACAGCUCACAGCAAUGCCAGAUCCUUAACCCACUGAGCGAGGCCAGGGAUCGAACCGGCCUCCUCAUGGAUACUUGUCGGGUUCGUUAACCAGUGCGCCAUGAUGGGAAAUCCCUAAAUUUACUUACUUAAGUUUUAAAAAGCCUCUUCCUAUUUUUUUCUUUCUUUUCUUGAAUUGAAGUUCUACUAAUCAACCCAAGGCCAAAGUCUCAGGCAAAGUGGGCUGUGUUUGUACUUCAAGGACAUGGUAAGAGUUAACCAAGUUUUCUCCUAGGCAUAUUUUUGUUCUCACAGGAUCAGAAUUCUGAAAAAAAGUUUUUUUUUAAUCAAGCCAACUUCUCCAACUGCACAUAUGACAAGAGCCAGUUUUGGAAUUUGAAAAGAGUUUCAAAACGGCCAGGGCCAAACUAAAACCAAAAGUCUCGUCAGCUGUAAGUUAUAAAAGACCAAGUGGCAGAGAGACCUUCUCUCUCUGCCCCAAAUGGCAGAAAAACUGCCCCAAAUGUGACUUCUGAGUUUCCUCUCGCCUUGGAUCCUUGUCUAGAAGGCACGUCCUUGGAGCCAGGGCUCCCCAGAUGGAGCUUCCCUCCAUACUGUGAGUUCCCCAAAUUGGAACCGAAGUUCCCCAAAUGGAAUUUCCCCCUUCAGGGAAAGUUCCUCAAAUGGACAAGAUCAAAAGGCCUUCGUGCGCACUCCAGGGGCAACUCACUGAAAGGUGGCUGGCAGGGCUGGGUCGAGACUCUCCAAAUGCCCUCUUUCUGUCCUCCAAAGUUGAUGUUUUCUCAGAGUGGAGGUCCGGGCCAGAGCAGACAAAAGGAAAGUUGUCUUCAGAGCAAAAGGGGCCUCAGCAGCUGCUGCGGAACUCCAAAGCCAUUCUCCGUUUGGCUUUGGAGUUCCGCAGCCAAACCACGACAGUAGGCCAGGUGUGAUUGAGGCACAGCCCUGUGGCAGGGGGUCCCUGGUGAUCUGAUUCCAGAGAAAUUCUCUAGCCUUCUGCCUUCCCAGAGAUGGUUGGCAGGAAGGGACACUCUAGGUGGCUUAUUGAACCAAGGGGCCCUACAGGGCCAUGUGCCCACAAGGGGAUCCCAGACGAGCCACCAAAAUUUGCUGCCAAAAUAUGGGCUGCUUCUGUACACCAAUGCUGAAUAGAAACUCAGACACAGUGUUGGAAGAAACAGAAAAAAUAGCUUUAAUUGCCAGGCAAAGAGGGGAACACAGCAGGAUGGUGCCUCAAAGACUAUGCCUCUGCUCAGAGGGGGUAGUGAGGAGUCUUACAGUGUUUGAGGAUCCAGGUGUCAUUAAGUUCAUAGACAUUUUCCUGAUUGGUUGCUGAUGAGGUAAUUGGGAAUCAGCACCAUCGAGCUUCUGGUUCCAACAGGUCUAGGAUAUGCAUGCUUAUAAGCAGCAUAUAGUUGACUUCUUUCACCUGGUGGGGGCUUCAGCACCUGAUACAGCUCAAAGGACAUGGCUCAGAAUAUUAUCUGUAAUCCUUGAGGAAGAACUAAAGGCCCUUGACCAACAAGAAUGGCUAAACUAUUAUUAUUCUGUCUCGCUUGACUUCCUUUUUCUCACUUCUCUGAUUAACUUGAUUCUUUAACUAAAGAUUUUCUGUAGAUAAAAAGGCAGGUAGCAGACAUGAGUAGAGGUCCAUUCUGGGAAGGCCUCGCCGGGUCCUGCUUGGUAACAUGGUGAGGUCUAAUGGUGUUACAUGUGCAGUACUAAGAACAGUGUCUGGGACACAGCAAAUGCUAUCUAAAUGCUUGCUGUUAUCAAUAUAUUUUGGUCUUCUCUCCCUCUUCAUUCUUUUUUCCUUUCUUCUCCUCCUCCUCCUUCUCCUCUCCUCCUUCUCCUCCCUCUCUUCCCCCUUCCCUCCUCCUCCUUAUUUAUUAUUCAGUUGGCAAUAACCAAUUUUUUUUUUUUUUUUUUGCUUUUUAGGGCUGUACCUGUGGCAAAUGAAUGGAAGUUCCCAGGCUUGGGGAACUGCAGCUGCAGCUGCAGGCCUAUGCCACAGCAACGUGGGAUCUGAGCUGCGUCUGUGACCUGCAUCACAGCUCAUGGCAACACCAGAUCCUUAUCCUGCUGAGUGAGGCCAGGGAUGGAACCUGCAUCUUCAGGGACACUAUGUCAGGUUCUUCAUCUGCUGAGCCACAACAAGUACUCCUGUUUUCUGAUUUUUUUUUUUUGCAAUAACUCUCUAUGAAUCUGUUAAUAUUUUUUUGAGUGCUAAGAGGUAGUCUCAUUCUUUCAUUUUCCAGAUGUGGAAACUGAAUCCCCAAAACAGAACAUGGCUUCCUGAGAUCACACAGAGACUGUGACUAAACCAGUACUAGAACCAAUGGCUUCUGACCAUGAGUCCAUGGCUUGUUACUCUCAACACAGAGUCCAAGAAGACCUACCUUGGAUACUGAUACACUCUGCGUGUCCUCCAACACCCACAGGAAGACUUGAACACUCUGUGAUUCCAAGUAUUCUCCAAAAGAGGUCUUUGUGUCAAAGAUUGCGAGCAUGUCAAGGGAAAGGUCUGUGGCUUGGCUACUUUGUGAUCUUCAAUGUAUGCUUGGCACUGUGCUUCAAGAUCUUUUAGGGCAGAAAAUAUUGCCUAUAACACCUGGGAUUAUUAGGGGCAGAUGCUCAAUAAAUAGAAUUAAUAAACCCGCAUUUAAAAAGAAUGGGGUUAGGGAAGGGAAUAGUUAUUAAGAAAUUGAUAUGUUCUAGUCACUGUGCUAGAAUUUUCACCACUAUCUCAUUUAAUCCCCAGAAAUCCUUUAUGGCAUUUUCCAUUUCCAGAUUUUGAAUCAGGAAAUUAAGUUUCAGAGAGGUUAGGCAACUUACUCUGAGUGUCUUCACAAGUAAACAUUCAAGAUUGACACUUCUCUGGUGGACUAUAACCUUCUAAAAUCUAAUAUGAUCAUCAAAGAGUGAGAAGUAAAGCCAAGAAGAGAGAGAACUAAUGCUUUCCAGAAGGUUUUUUUUUAAGUUUUUUUUUUUCAUGAGAAACAAUAAAAUCAACCAUAAAAAUU